GCCGAAAGCUACUGGAGUACCUGUACGUAGAGGGUUGCGUAGGUGGUUUGUUAAGCGAAAAGUGAAAUCUGACGGCUCAACCGUACAGACUAUUAUUCGAACUGGCAAACUCGAGAAUGGUAGAGGUAACUGGAAUUUCUGAAGUAGGGGUAAUAUCCGUAGAUAUCAGAAGGAACACCAAUGGCGUAGGCAGGUUACUGGACCAUUCCUGACACUGAGGCACGAGAGCGUGGGGAGCGAACCGGAUUAGAUACCCGGGUAGUCCACGCCGUAAACGAUGGAUACUAGCUGUUGGAGGUAUCGACCCCUUCAGUAGCGAAGCUAACGCGUUAAGUAUCCCGCCUGUGGAGUACGGUCGCAAGACUAAAACAUAAGGGAAUUGACGGGGACCCGCACAAGCGGUGGAUUAUGUUCUCUAAUUCGACGAUAAACGAAGAGCCUUACCAGGGCUUGACAUCCUUGGAAUCACUACGAAGGUAGAGAGUGCUUUAUUGAGCCAAGUGACAGGUGUUGCAUGGCCGUCGUCAGCUCGUGUCGUGAGAUGUUUGGUUAAGUCCAUUAACGAGCGCAACCCUUGUGAUUAGUUGUAUUCUUCUAAUCAGACUGCCCCGGUAACGGGGAGGAAGGAGGGGAUGACGUCAGGUCAGUAUUACCCUUACGCCCUGGGCUAGAAACGUAAUACAAUGGCCGGUACAAUGCGCCGCGAAGCCGCGAGGUGGAGCAAAUCGCAUCAAAGCCGGUCCCAGUUCGGAUUGUAGGCUGAAACUCGCCUGCAUGAAGUCGGAAUCGCUAGUAAUCGCA
RNAcentral lists this ribosomal RNA (801 nucleotides) under uncultured bacterium. Its description in RNAcentral is "bacterial SSU rRNA". It matches the Rfam family "Bacterial small subunit ribosomal RNA", at positions 533 to 1346 of the family's 1533-position model. The record is from RNAcentral.